GAAAGAGGAAGAGGAGGAGAGAUGGAUGAAGAUCUCCCGCCCUUCCUCUCAUGCAGUGCAGUACGAGAACCUUGUCCGUCUUUCAACUCCCAAAACCCGAGGAAGAAGUGCCCAGGAAGUGAAUUCUCCUCACUCAUUGUUAUGUGAGCAUGACUGUCCCAUCUGGCAUGUGAGUCCUAGUUUAAGGGACACUGUCGUUUCGCCCCGAAUCCUCCAGAUGUCCAUCCCCAAAACCCACCACCCCGACUUCACCAGCAACAGACAGAAUGUGCAGACAUUCAUCUCAUAUGCAGCUCAAACAGCUAAGAUGACGUCUAGACUGGAGCAGCUCUCACUCCCCAAACUAAGAAAGAACAGACACUUCUAUGACCCCGGACAACCAGAGAGUCCUAUCCGAACUGUGUCUAGAGGAGCAAGAAUCGCCACAGCGAGUGCCCGAAUCCAAGCUUUAUCCACUCCUAAAGCCCUCUCUAAAGAUUACAUCCCACCCAGAGAAGCAACAUGGCAGCCCUGA
This 514-nucleotide long non-coding RNA is filed under the name Carassius auratus (goldfish). RNAcentral's name for it is "lncRNA (ENSCARG00000011764.1)". Lineage: Eukaryota; Metazoa; Chordata; Actinopteri; Cypriniformes; Cyprinidae. The record is from RNAcentral.